CGCCUGGGGAGUACGGCCGCAAGGUUAAAACUCAAAUGAAUUGACGGGGGCCCGCACGAGCGGUGGAGCAUGUGGUUUAAUUCGACGCAACGCGAAGAACCUUACCUGGCCUUGACAUCCAGAGAGCUUUCCAGAGAUGGAUUGGUGCCUUCGGGAACUCUGAGACAGGUGCUGCAUGGCCGUCGUCAGCUCGUGUCGUGAGAUGUUGGGUUAAGUCCCGUAACGAGCGCAACCCCUAUCCCUGGUUGCUAGCAGGUAAUGCUGAGAACUCCAGGGAGACUGCCGGUGACAAACCGGAGGAAGGUGGGGAUGACGUCAGGUCAUCAUGGCCCUUACGGCCAGGGCUACACACGUGCUACAAUGGCGCGUACAGAGGGCUGCCAACUCGCGAGAGUGAGCCAAUCCCUUAAAACGCGUCGUAGUCCGGAUCGGAGUCUGCAACUCGACUCCGUGAAGUCGGAAUCGCUAGUAAUCGCGAAUCAGAAUGUCGCGGUGAAUACGUUCCCGGGCCUUGUACACACCGCCCGUCACACCAUGGGAGUGGAUUGCACCAGAAGUAGUUAGUCUAACCUUCGGGAGGACGAUUACCAUGGUGUGGUUCAUGACUGGGGUGAAGUCGUAACAAGGUAACCGUA
Molecule: ribosomal RNA, 635 nt
Filed under: uncultured Marinobacter sp.
Lineage: Bacteria; Pseudomonadati; Pseudomonadota; Gammaproteobacteria; Pseudomonadales; Marinobacteraceae
Description: bacterial SSU rRNA
Rfam family: Bacterial small subunit ribosomal RNA
Source: RNAcentral